GUACUCUAGCCAAAAAGCUGUUCUUGAAGUUGAAUAUUUUGGUGAAGUUGGUACUGGCCUGGGUCCUACACUUGAGUUUUAUACCCUUAUAAGUCACGAUCUACAGAAACUUGGACUUGGAAUGUGGAGAUCUGGUUUAUCAUUAACUUCAAAUGAACAUUCUGUGGAAGUUCAUAUCGAUAAUAAAUUAAGUAGAAGUGACGGAGAUCUUGUCCAAGCACCUCUUGGAUUA
This 232-nucleotide unclassified non-coding RNA is filed under the name Hevea brasiliensis (rubber tree). The record is from RNAcentral. Lineage: Eukaryota; Viridiplantae; Streptophyta; Magnoliopsida; Malpighiales; Euphorbiaceae.